GCCCAAAUGGUGGAAUUGGUAGACACGCUAGUUUCAGGGACUAGUGGCUUCGGCUGUGGGGGUUCGAGUCCCCCUUUGGGUA
This 82-nucleotide transfer RNA is filed under the name Paludibacter sp. Its description in RNAcentral is "tRNA-Leu". It matches the Rfam family "tRNA". Rfam says of the family: Transfer RNA (tRNA) molecules are approximately 80 nucleotides in length. Their secondary structure includes four short double-helical elements and three loops (D, anti-codon, and T loops). Lineage: Bacteria; Pseudomonadati; Bacteroidota; Bacteroidia; Bacteroidales; Paludibacteraceae. The record is from RNAcentral.